CGUGUCAGUGGUGGUUGGUCGCCAAAAGACGAAGACGUUCUUCCCAGUUGUUUGAGGAAGGAAAGAGAGGAAGGCUUCAAACAACUCUCUCACUAGUUAUUUUCAGAUCCUCAUUUUGCUCGUUGUAGCUUUGUCAAGUAUCUGUGUAAUUUCUCUCCCUGUUCGCUCCUCUCCCUGUAGGAUUUACAAACCCUCCACAACCUGUGGCUGCAACCCUUCUAAUCUAGUACACCUUGCGCGCACAACCCAUGUGUACUUCCUAUUCUCUUGCAGCCUUUGGAACUGCCCAUCUGUGGUCAAGAAGGCUGAGGUCAUCUCAGCCUAUGUCACCAUUAGUCCCUACACAUUUUGGCCCUGACAGAGAUAUGGAUUAACCCAGAUAAGACUACUACUCCAGCUGCUCUUUCGUCUUCUGACUGUUCUCUCAUAGUCCUACAGCAUCUGGUCGUGGCGUUGGGGGUACAGGGAUGGUCAUUUCUCCUAAGUUGAGAUGUUCUCUUCUCCCCCUCUCUCACCUGUCCAUCUCCUCAUUUGAAUUCCAUGCUGUCACUGUCAGUUGUCCACCCAAGCGUAAAAUUGUCAUCUAUCACCCACCAGAUCUAUCUGCUGCUUUCGACACAGUGAACCAUCAGAUCCUCCUCACCCUCUCAGGGCUCGGUGUCCAGGCUCUGCACACUCUUGGAAUGCAUCCUACCUGGCAGGUCGCUCUUACCUGGUGACGUGGCGAGGAUCUGUGUCUGCACCACGUGCUCUCACUACUUUUGUUCCCCAGGUGGCAAGACGCAUGUCUGGCAGCUAUCUCAGCUUGGAUGUUGGCCCACCACCUCAAGCUCAACCUCGACAAGACAGAGGUGCUCUUCCUCCCGGGAAGACCUGUCAGUUCAAAGACCUCUCCAUCACAGUCGACAAUGCCACGAUGUCCCCCUCCCAGAGUGCAAAGAAUCAUGGCACGAACCUGGACAAUACCCUGUUGUUCUCUGAAAAUAUCAGAGCAGUGACUCGCUCUUGCAGGUUCAUGUUCUACAAAAUCCAUCCAGUACAACAUUUCUAUUGCC
This is a long non-coding RNA of Oncorhynchus keta (chum salmon), 1055 nucleotides long. RefSeq lists it as uncharacterized. Lineage: Eukaryota; Metazoa; Chordata; Actinopteri; Salmoniformes; Salmonidae. The record is from RefSeq and is a predicted model, not a curated record. The transcript is spliced from 3 exons.